This 356-nucleotide ribosomal RNA is filed under the name uncultured type I methanotroph. RNAcentral describes it as "bacterial SSU rRNA". It matches the Rfam family "Bacterial small subunit ribosomal RNA", at positions 359 to 716 of the family's 1533-position model. Lineage: Bacteria; Pseudomonadati; Pseudomonadota; Gammaproteobacteria; Methylococcales; Methylococcaceae. The record is from RNAcentral.
GCGUAUAUGGGGGGCACCUGAUCAGCAUGCCGCGUGUGUGAAGAAGGCCUUCGGGUUGUAAAGCACUUUUAUCCGGAACGAAACGUUGGGGGUGAAUAUCCGGGAAGACUGACGGUACCCGAGGAAUAAGCACCGGCUAACUUCGUGCCAGCAGCCGCGGUAAUACGAAGGGUGCAAGCGUUACUCGGAAUUACUGGGCGUAAAGGGUGCGUAGGUGGUUUUUUAAGUCUGCUGUGAAAUCCCCGGGCUCAACCUGGGAAUGGCAGUGGAUACUGGAAAGCUGGAGUGCGGUAGAGGGUAGUGGAAUUCCCGGUGUAGCAGUGAAAUGCGUAGAGAUCGGAAGGAACACCAGUGGA